GGAAAACACACGUGGAUAUAUAUAAAAAGUGACCUACAACUAGCAUCAAACAUCGCUACAAUAGACCGGUCUGCUUACAUAGGGAUCAAUAUCAGUGAGUUUCAACUCUCAGACUCUGGCUGGUUUUGUUGUGGUGCGGCCUACAUCACGGAUCUUAAUAUGAAGAGGUACAACCAAGGAUGUCAUUAUUUAUCAGAUAAUGGGACCACACAUAGACUGCCGCCUUCUAAAAACUAUACUGUUUCAGAGUAUGUGGGGUUUGGUUUAUUAUUGUGUAUUUUGGCGUGGGCCUAUCAUUACCUUCUUUAACAAUUUGAGCUCCUAUCCAAGAUUGAUAACGCUAACAAUUUUCUCGAAAGAACACACCAUGUUGAACCCUAAGCUUGUACCUCUGGAUAACAGCUAGUAUCUACGCAGACUGAAGCACGAAGCAAGCAAAAUCCGCAAUUCCUCGGAAUUCUUAAAAUGGAAAUAAAAUGACAAACUAAAUUUUUCUAAAGAAAAUUGGCUGAAAAAAAAAAGUUUUCAUGAAUGUAUCUAAAAAUGAUCUAGUAC
This is a long non-coding RNA of Physella acuta, 555 nucleotides long. RefSeq lists it as uncharacterized. The record is from RefSeq and is a predicted model, not a curated record. Lineage: Eukaryota; Metazoa; Mollusca; Gastropoda; Physidae.